RNAcentral lists this long non-coding RNA (1574 nucleotides) under Diabrotica virgifera virgifera (western corn rootworm). RNAcentral describes it as "uncharacterized LOC126889896". Lineage: Eukaryota; Metazoa; Arthropoda; Insecta; Coleoptera; Chrysomelidae. The record is from RNAcentral.
UUUAUUCCAAACAUAACCUUAUAAACAAACAGUUGUUUAUUUAGAGUUAUUUAUUAUUGUUUUCUCAUAUUUUGCAAUUGUUAAGUUGGUUUACUUCGAAUUUAAUGUGCAUUACUGUGGUAUUUCUCCAGUUUUCUAAGAAGGUUGGUGAUUUUGAAUUGGGAUUAUGAUGAAUUUAACCCAAAGGCAAUGUGUGUGUUUAUUUAUGUGGCAAAAUUCCAGGCACCAUAAAAAUUUGAGUUUCUUCCUGUUGCCCAUGGCACAGCCCCAUGGAUGAAAAUCGGUUUGCAGAAUGAAAAGAAAUUGUUCAAUGUGAUAAACUUUCUAUGAACAGUCCUCAGUGUUGUUACAUUAACUUUUAAAUAUGCAUCUUGAGGAGCAGGCCUUUGCAGAAAUACUGAAAAGCGGGUUGCAAAACAACGCAAAAUAAAAUAAACGAAAUAUGUCUUGGAAUGAUAAUUUUGUAAUUCUGUAGGCACAUCUAUUGAGAAGUUACAACCAGUGGCAAAGUGCCUUAAGGGAAUCUAUGACAUAUAUAAUUGAAGGGACACCUCCUCUGAAGGAAUUACAAUUAUUUGCCAGUAUGUCAAAUGAAUUUUCAACAUCAGUCAUACUUUCAUGAAUUUAUUGAUGAAAAUAAAACUAGGUACAUGAUUUAUUAUUUACUUCUAAGGGAUUCUAAGAUACUAUGUGUAAAAAGUCCAAUAUGCAGUGAUGAGCAUGCUAAUAACUGGCAAAAUAUGGGAUAUAACGCCAAAGAUGGGAAACAUGGGAUGCAUUCUGAAGUAAAAAGAGAUGAAACUGAGAGAAAUUAUUGAUAUAAACAUAUAAAUUAACAUUGCAUUACAUAGUUUCCCACCUUUAGACAUAUCAGAUGAGUAUGAGAACUGUCACUGUGCCAGGAGAAUUUUAUAAAAUACUCCUGUCACAGAGAUCUAAAGGUGGGAAACUAUGUAAUGUUAUCGUCGGCUAAGAGUGUUAACCUGCUAACUCUAUUUUUCACUGUGAGUGAUAUUGGGGUAGUUUCUAGGUCUGUGUACCUUCAUACCAUGUCCCACAAGCCCGCUGGUUCCACUGUAGUUUAGAGAUAGCUAUUUCUAAACUACAUUGGUGUCGGCGGGUUUGUGUGGUGGUGUAUGAAAAUACACGGACCCAGAAACUAGCCCAAUAUCACUCAAAGUGAAAAAUGGAGGUUAAAACUCUUAUCCAAGGUUAUGUUAAUUUAUUCGUUUAUAACGAUAAGUUCCACUUCUACCAGUUUCAUCUCUUUUUAUCUCACAAGUUAAUAUGUUUUCCAUCUUUUGCGUUAUUUUGCCGGUUAUUAGUGUGAGUGCUCAUUACUGUAUAUUUACGAUUCUGUGAUUUCUCAAUAUGAUGCUGAGUAGGUAUAGAUCUGAGUAGGUAUAUAGUAGGUAUCUACAACCCUUUCAAAACAGAAAUUUAUAAGUUCAUUUUAUGUACCUAUUAAACUUUAUUUUAAGGAUGAAUUUGAAAUGCUUGUAGGGAAUAUAUCUGUAAAAAAUAAAAUUGGUAUUGUAAAAUUGAAAUUCUCAAAAUAUAAUUUAUAAUUCGAA